RNAcentral lists this ribosomal RNA (233 nucleotides) under uncultured bacterium. RNAcentral describes it as "partial 16S ribosomal RNA". It matches the Rfam family "Bacterial small subunit ribosomal RNA", at positions 100 to 334 of the family's 1533-position model. The record is from RNAcentral.
CGGGACGGGUGAGUAAUGUCUGGGAAACUGCCUGAUGGAGGGGGGUAACUACUGGAAACGGUAGCUAAUACCGCAUAAUGUCUACGGACCAAAGCGGGGGACCUCCGGGCCUCGCGCCAUCAGAUGAACCCAUAUGGGAUUAGCUAGUAGGUAAGGUAACGGCUUACCUAGGCGACGAUCCCUAGCUGGUCUGAGAGGAUGAUCAGCCACACUGGGACUGAGACACGGCCCAG